RNAcentral lists this ribosomal RNA (449 nucleotides) under uncultured bacterium. Its description in RNAcentral is "partial 16S ribosomal RNA". It matches the Rfam family "Bacterial small subunit ribosomal RNA", at positions 330 to 795 of the family's 1533-position model. The record is from RNAcentral.
GCCAGACUCCUACGGGAGGCAGCAGUGGGGGAUAUUGCACAAUGGGGGGAACCCUGAUGCAGCGACGCCGCGUGGGUGAAGGAGCGUUUCGGCGCGUAAAGCCCUAUCGGCAGGGAAGAAGGAGGACGGUACCUGACUAAGAAGCCCCGGCUAACUACGUGCCAGCAGCCGCGGUAAUGCGUAGGGGGCAAGCGUUAUCCGGAUUUACUGGGUGUAAAGGGGGCGCAGACGGCGAUGCAAGCCAGGAGUGAAAGCCCGGGGCCCAACCCCGGGACUGCUCUUGGAACUGCGUGGCUGGAGUGCAGGAGGGGCAGGCGGAAUUCCUGGUGUAGCGGUGAAAUGCGUAGAUAUCAGGAGGAACACCGGUGGCGAAGGCGGCCUGCUGGACUGCAACUGACGUUGAGGCCCGAAAGCGUGGGGAGCAAACAGGAUUAGAUACCCCAGUAGAU